This 467-nucleotide ribosomal RNA is filed under the name uncultured bacterium. RNAcentral describes it as "partial 16S ribosomal RNA". It matches the Rfam family "Bacterial small subunit ribosomal RNA", at positions 28 to 507 of the family's 1533-position model. The record is from RNAcentral.
GAUGAACGCUGACAGAAUGCUUAACACAUGCAAGUCGACUUGAAUUUGGGUUUUUAACUUCGGUUUGGGUGGCGGACGGGUGAGUAACGCGUAAAGAACUUGCCUCACAGCUAGGGACAACAUUUGGAAACGAAUGCUAAUACCUAAUAUUAUGAUAAUAGGGCAUCCUAUAAUUAUGAAAGCUAUAAGCGCUGUGAGAGAGCUUUGCGUCCCAUUAGCUAGUUGGAGAGGUAACGGCUCACCAAGGCGAUGAUGGGUAGCCGGCCUGAGAGGGUGAUCGGCCACAAGGGGACUGAGACACGGCCCUUACUCCUACGGGAGGCAGCAGUGGGGAAUAUUGGACAAUGGACCGAGAGUCUGAUCCAGCAAUUCUGUGUGCACGAUGAAGUUUUUCGGAAUGUAAAGUGCUUUCAGUUGGGAAGAAACAAAUGACGGUACCAACAGAAGAAGAGACGGCUAAAUACGUG